Myxocyprinus asiaticus (Chinese sucker) is the source of this 1258-nucleotide long non-coding RNA. RefSeq lists it as uncharacterized. Lineage: Eukaryota; Metazoa; Chordata; Actinopteri; Cypriniformes; Catostomidae. The transcript has 5 exons. The record is from RefSeq and is a predicted model, not a curated record.
GCUAAACAGAGACUGCAUCAACAUUUACCAAGCGAGACAUACAACAAGACCAGAAGGAAGUGGCAAAGAAAGAGAGAAAGGAUGGUGAGCCACACUGUGUGGGCCCCCUCUGAUGUCAGCAGCCAAUCAUAACCCUGAAACAAGAAGCGCCAAAUGGAAAUCUCCUCCUCAUCAAGAAGGAGAUCAGCAUUCCUCAGCUCCUUUGUGUCCAAGGCUGUUGAAACGGAAUCCAGCUCCUUACCCACUAUAAUGUGGCCCUGAGCCCCAGUGGAAGACGUCGCCAUCACCGAACUCAUCGAUCAAUCAAGGAGAACUCAGGUGGGUUUUGAACAAUCAUUGGGCUGGAAAUAAUCAAACUAAUCUGGCAACACUGCACAGCGCACAAGACUCGUCUCGCAACUGAUUUCAAUACAGCUGAGCUCAUCACAGUGCAUUCUGGGAUUGCCUACCCGGGGAAGGACACAUCCGAUGAUACCUUAAAAUCUGGCCAAAGGUUUUAGGAGGCAGCAUAAUUAAGAUACCUACCUUUUGGAACAGACUUCGCGUCAGAAGCACACCUAUGAUGUCUUAAAAUGCUGCCUACGGAGGACACUCACUAGGUUUUGGAACAGACCCACAGUUCUCAUUUUGUGUUUUAAGAGUAUGUCUACCAAUUUGCUUAUACAAGUGUGUGAGAGUCGUAAAACAUAUUAAGGGCCGAGACUAUGUGUGUAUGCAUAUGUAUGCGUGCACUAGAGCACGCGAGAGCCAUGACUAAGACAGAUAUCUACAGCAGUGUACUAAGAUACAACGACUGAUUCAACAUCUGGCAGCUAUCAAAGCUAGUGGAAGAAGUGUGUGUGUGUGUGUGUGUGUGUGCGUACGUGUGUGUGUGUGUGAGGGAUCAACAGUGUGUUGUGGGGGUGUUGUUUCAGAAUGUAAGUCUGCAGAGAGCGGUGUGAACUCAAAGUGUGUGAGUUUACCGGCACUCAGAGAUGUCUGAUUGCAUCUCGUUUAGAUAUAGCAAAACACAACACAACACUUAUGUUAAUUAAUGAAGGAGUGUGUGAUCCAGAGAGCACUGUUCAUGAUUAUGAGUUUGUGCAUGUAUGCGGUUGUGUAUGUGUGAUUAAUCAAAGACUAUGUUUCAAAGAGUGCUCUCCUUACAUCAGAUUGAGACUAAAUGGUUUCAUCAACAAAGCCAUUACCACUAGGGCUGUGUGAGGCAAGACACACCGAGAGUUCUAACAACAAACAAGGAUUAACAUAGAUCACUGCA